CAGUCGCCGCGGUAAUACGAAGGGUGCAAGCGUUACUCGGAAUUACUGGGCGUAAAGCGUGCGUAGGUGGUGGUUUAAGUCCGUUGUGAAAGCCCUGGGCUCAACCUGGGAAUUGCAGUGGAUACUGGGUCACUAGAGUGUGGUAGAGGAUAGUGGAAUUUCCGGUGUAGCAGUGAAAUGCGUAGAGAUCGGAAGGAACAUCUGUGGCGAAGGCGACUAUCUGGGCCAACACUGACACUGAGGCACAAAAGCGUGGGGAGCAAACAGGAUUAGAUACCCCAGUAGUCCCUGUCUCUUAUAC
RNAcentral lists this ribosomal RNA (301 nucleotides) under uncultured bacterium. RNAcentral's name for it is "partial 16S ribosomal RNA". It matches the Rfam family "Bacterial small subunit ribosomal RNA", at positions 509 to 807 of the family's 1533-position model. The record is from RNAcentral.